GGGAGAGGAUGCACAGAAUGCUCAGAAGAAUUGAAAAACUGCAGUAUCUUCCAGUGAAAGAAUGCAAGAGUCUGGUUUAUUUAGGUCUAUUUCAAAGAAGAAGUAUGAUGCGCUUCAAGUAAUUAAUUGCGGAGCUUCUUGUGCUUCACAAAACUCAUCUCACAGAAGUCAACAGAGGUAGUCCCAUGAAUCAAAUAAGCAGACUGCG
RNAcentral lists this long non-coding RNA (208 nucleotides) under Gallus gallus (chicken). Lineage: Eukaryota; Metazoa; Chordata; Aves; Galliformes; Phasianidae. The record is from RNAcentral.